Molecule: long non-coding RNA, 4586 nt
Filed under: Helianthus annuus (common sunflower)
Lineage: Eukaryota; Viridiplantae; Streptophyta; Magnoliopsida; Asterales; Asteraceae
Description: hypothetical non coding rna
Source: RNAcentral
GUUCAGCUUCAUUCCUUUCCUCUCUCGCCACUUUGUGAUAUAUUUACAUCCACUUUUCUUUAAGUAAUUCACCCCUAAUUCUAUAAAGCCGCCCUGUUUUAAGUAUUGUAACCCUUGAUCACUGAUACCAUGUCCGACUGACGUAGGACCCCGUAACGUAUGUCAAGGUUCUGCCUAAACUCGUUGGGAUUCUGUCUCGUGACGUAGGGAUAAAGUGUAAUUGGGUUACUAUAUUUAAUGUGAGUGCACUAUAUAUUUUAUUAGAUAACCCAGGAGUUAUACCCAAAAUAUAACAACUCUCCUAAAACACCCCUGACACCCCUACACUUCCUGAAAUACAUCCCAUACGUGAAAACCGAGUCCGAAUUAUAAUAUAGUAUUAAAAAUAAAUGGAAAACAAGAAAAAGUAAGUUGAGGCGGGCCGCGUAGACCCACCCCAAACUUAACGCGGGCCGUGUGAGGGUGUAACUGAACUCCGCUGAAUUCUUUAGUUCAUGCGGGCCGCGUAAGGCCACACCGUUAGUUUAUGCGGGCCGCGAGUGUCCCAAUUGGUGGCGCAGCCCGGUGAUGACACGUGUCAUCAUCGUGGCAAGGCUAGAUCAUGACCAGGACAAGCUACGCGUUGACCCAGUAUUGACGCGGGCCGCGUAAGCCUUGCCUGUUCUUUACGCGGGCCGCGUGGGAACCAGUUUCAGCAACUAUAUAAGGAACGCAUCGGAUUUCAAUUCAGUUCGCUCAUUUCUCAAUUCUCAAUCACAAUUUCUGUAGAAGGCUUAUUAUACUCGGGUAUUAUACCCCCUAAUUAGCGAAGCUCUGCCUCGUUACUAUAACCAGGGAAUCACAAAGGAAAGCCCUAUAAUAGCAAUGUGAGUUGAUCCACUUUUUGUUAAAUGCUUUUACAAAACCUUACAUACUUUUCCAUGCGAAUGACAGUUAUUGAGUAUUUGUAAGAAUACAAUUAUCGUGGGUAUGUUGGGGUUUUGUAUACAAAAUUUGUUACAACCUGGUUAUGGAGUAACAUUACCACAAGUCGGGUGUCGACAGUACCACGGGUGAUAAUUGAUAUAACUUGGAAACAAAUGUAAUUGCGGAUGCGCCUAGGGGUGCUAAACGGGUCGUGUUCGCGGGUUGGCGGGUUCAACCCGACCCGAACCCGAAAAUUUUACACAAACCCGAACCCGACCCGGACCCGAAAAUCGUGUCAUACAUAAGAACCCGAACACGACCCGAAGUUUUGUGGGUUAACCUGAACACGACCCGUUCAACCCGAAUUUUUUUAUUUUUUUCUGAAAUUAAGAUAUUAAAAUUAAAAUUUAACUUAAAAAACACAAAUGUAUAUAAUGAUAUCAUACUUAAAUUAUAAAAUCUAUGUUAAUUUCUCUUUUUAAGUUAUAAUCAUUGCAUAAAAUACACACCCUAUUUAAUUUAUGACAUAAAAUAUAUUGUAAAAAAAUAUAAUAUAGUAUAAAUGUGUUAAACGGGUCAACCCGCCAACCCGACCGGGUUGACCCGAACCCGACCCGUUAACAUAAACGGGUUCGCGGGUUCAACCUGAAACUGACCCGAACCCGUUUAGACUAAACCUAAACCCGCGAAUUUCGUGUUAGGUUCGUGUCGGGUUUUCGGGUCGUGUCAGAAAUUCACGCCCCUAGAUGCGCCCUCAAUACUGUUCACUGUGACUUUUUAUUUAAACUUGAUUAAACUGGGAUUCACUCACCAGUAUUUCCUGCUGAUAAAAUGUUUUAAACACGUGUUUCAGGUAACUUAGUGUGAAGCCAAUAAAAGCCAGCUGGAGAGCACUGAAGGCUUGGAAAAGUGGCUAUAAAGUUACCUAAAAUAAAAUAGAUGUUUUUAUUAAUAAAAAUAGGAUUUAUUCCUAUGAAAGUGUUGAAAACUUGGGUUUUACCCAUGUGUUUAAUAUUAUGAAAAUAUGGUGGUUUUACUCUGAUAAAAAUAUUUCCUAACUACGGUCCUGAUGAAAAUUUCCGCUGCCAAAUUAGACCAUACGCGAUACCACCGACACUGGUUCACGGCCGCCCGUUCCUGUGUUUGUAUAAGGGAUCGGGGGUUGUGACAGAAGGUGGUAUCAGAGCUAUGCCACUGGUUCAAGCCAAAGAAGUGUUCUGCUGACACUUAAGUUUUAAAUUAUGUGUUAGGAAAUUUAUGUGUUAUUCUGUAGUAUGAGUAACCAAUAUCACUAGACGUACCCAUAGGCUACCUCGGCAGAUGUAUUAUACUACACUCUUAUACAAUUAGUAACUUAAGGUAUCACCUUGAGUGAGAUCUCUUCUUAAAUAAAUGAAUGUACUGUAAUAUAUAUAUAUAUGUGUGUAUAUACUACUAUGUGUAUAUCAACCUUACUAAGAAAUAUUAAUACACGUUCAUUUUGUAAAAAUAUUCAUAGUUCAUGGGUAUAAAUUUUAGAUAUUAAAUCUAAAAUCAUAAUUUAUGGUAAACUUACGUAAGAAAUCGAAUAACAUUAUGUAUCCACCUUAGAUAAAUAAAAGUAUGUUAUUUUAGUUGAUUCAUAGACUUCAUGAUCUAUCCUUAUGAAUGGUGGUAUAGAUUAUGGUAAAUUCCUAAAUUAACCUUAAAUCCAGAAAUCGUGUUAAUGUACAAUAUUAAUUGUAUGUAAAAUAAUAUGCACGUUGUAGUAUAGUAUACUUCUAAUAAACAUACGUUAUAAUACACUAUUAAAAAAAAAGUCAAGAGAAAAUAAAGAAAAUAAAGAAGUCACAACCAAAGGGAGUAAUAAUGCACAAACUCAUGAAAUAGACAGUAACCCACUAGGGAAAAAUGAAUUUGAUAAACAAUGGGUAAAUUUCCAUAUGUUAGCCACUACAGCAGUAAAUAUUAACUUAUAUUAGAUAGUUGAAUCGCCAAACCAGUACCCGCACCCAUGCCACCUAUGAGCCAGAAAUUUUAAAGAAAUUUUGCCCAUUAAAUAAACAACCUAGUAAGGGAAAAAGAUAGAAUAAACCUUACAUAAAGGCAUAUUGAGCAUAAUACUCUUAUAACUUAGAUAAACUAAAAUAAGUCACGGAUGCAUAAUCACUAGUCUGUUUUGAAUUCCAGUUGUAGCUUAUAAUAAUUAUAAAUAUAUAUAAGUCGCAAUGUUCGUCGUUUUUAAUCAAUCUAUUUUUAUGAUUAUACCCAAAUGUUUAUACUAGAAAUUUUGUCUGUAAUAAUUAAUACCACCUAAUAAUAUACAUCAAACUAAGUUAGUUGUUAACAAAGCAAUCAUGUUCAUAACUUUCUUUUGAAACCAGUCAUUUACUUUGAUUUAAAAUACAUAUUGGAAUAUAUGGUAUAAAGCUUGAAAACUUUGUGGUUUUAAUAACAUUGUUUCAAAUUAUUUUUAAAACCAAAGCUAUUAAAAUAACCGAAAGGAUUUUAAGAAUUAAAAUUUAAAAGAUUUCUUUAGUAGAUUGAGCCAAAGCAAGUUUUGAAACCCAGGUGUACCAAUUUAUCACUCCAUUUUAUCCCUUCUGGUUUGUAACCAAUUGACCAUGAGACUUCAUACUUUCAUAGUUUUAUAAAAUAACUGAUGUUGGGAUUACUUGUAAAGAUUUCUAUUAAAAUACUUAGCGAUAAAAUAAAUGGUUAAAUGAAUAUGAUGGGUAGUCAUGAUUAAAUAAAAUUAUUUAUUUUUUUUAGUUUGGGUUAGUUGGACUACGUAGAAAGGCCUAACUAAAUAUUAAAAACAUUUCUACAAAUCUUUAAGAUAUGUCCAGAAUAGGUCUUAUGCAUGGCAAUAAUUGAUAUAAGAUUAACCCGUCAUAUUAGUUAUAUGAUUGUGUAUCCUAAAUUAUAAAGAAAAAUAUUCAAGUCAGCUGAUUGAUAUAUAAUAGUUAAUUAGUAAAUGAGUUGAGUUGAUAAAUUGGAUGUUAAACUUACCUUAAGUGGUCUCGAAGUUCUCAUACUUUAAAAAGAUUAUAAUAAAGAUAAAAGAGAUGAGAUUGAAUUGUGAUUGGUUAAAUAAUGGAGAUGGAGAUUCUCAUAAAAUAACUGUAGUAAUAAAAUACCAGUGAUGUAACCGUGACACAGAUAAAUUUUAUAAAGUCGGUUACAUGAAUCUAUAAAAGAUCUAUUUAAUUAAAUACUUGAAAAAUAGAUCUCAAAUAUGUACAAAAUAAAGUAUUAAUCUUAACAUAUUUUGAAUAUAAAAUAGACAUACUUUGAUAGUAUGGGAUGAAGUACGUUACAUAAGGUUUGAAAAAAAAAAUCAAAUUUCUGAACAGAGGGCAAAAUCGUAAAUUAAUGUUAUGUGUUUUAAGUUUAUAAUAUAUAUUAAUAUUUAAUAUAUAUCCGUUACAUUGCUAUAACUAAAAUUUUCAAAUUACAGAAAGUAAUUUAUAUAUAGUAUAUAUAUAUCUCUGGGUAACCCAUAAAUACAAUGUCAUGAGUCACAAAUGCACAUAUUCUUCUAAAUGAUGCCUCUCAAUCUUAAAUGUAUGUUAUAAUUGAUUCUUGGAAAGAAAAAAAGGUAGGAAUGUGAUAAUUGGAAUAGAUAUAUAGAUGGGUACCUGAGGAAAAAUUAUUGAGGUAAUAUAAAUAAUGAGCCUGGUAUAGUUUAACCCAUUUGU